AGACUCUCGAGCGCCGGCCCCAGGAUGACAAUCACAUCCCAGGAGCGCCGAUCUCUUCCAACUUUCCUCUUCUGCUAACUCGGGGCGGAGUGGCAGUCCCGCCGCCCCGAAGCACAAAGGGAACGAGGCCGCGGGCUGUGCGCCGGCGAACGCUCUGCGCUCUCCUAGCCACAGUAGAUCGCGGACUUAGCGGAUUUCUUGUUCUCCGGCAGGCUGGGCUCCGAGGCCAUUCGUUGCCCACCCCCCUCUGGCGUCUUCCCCAAGCCAGGGGGCCCGGAGAGCCAGCUGGAGAUCCGGAAUGAAAGUCUCUGGGAGAGCCGAUGGAUGGCCCGCGCCCAGGGCGCAGGAAGUCCGGGAUGACUGCCCCUCUGCGCCGGCAGCAGCAGGUGGGCGAGAGACAGGCCUCAGACGUCUGCACGUCUCCGCCUCGCCUUCCUUCUACCGACCCCCCGCCGGACGGCGAGGGAGAAGACACUGGUUCCUGGAACUACCGGGGUAGCCUUUUUCUAGAGUAGGGGUGGUGGGCAAGAACUGCCAGACAGAGAAUCAGCUACACCCGAGGAGAUCUCGGGACCGUCCCCAGCUCCACUCCCACGCCUCGCAGCCUCUUUCUCCCGGUUUUCCCACCGCACGCAGCUCGCACCGCCAAGUCGGUGGUGGUGGAGGGUGCGGGUCCCCUUCCCUUUUGUUUAACUAAGUCGCCUUCCCCUUCGCACGCACUCUCGCAUCCGCCCACGCUCCACUGCAAACACUGGGCAGAGCAGUGCCCAACCCAACCACUGUUUGUUCAGCGAGGCGCUGGCGAAGCAAACACACACAACUGAGUCAGAGGCAGAGCCCUUGCCCACGACGGCCACACAGUUAGAAUACAAAACAGACCCUCUCCUCUUCUCUCCACCUCCCGCCACCACAAGCCACGGACGCACUCGAACUCUGGGACAGACAGGGGCGCUGGUGAACCAGGACAGAAGAUGGCACAGGUUUGGGCACGCCGCGGAAGCUCGGGAUAUCGGGAACUUCGCAUAAUGGGGCCACACGCAAGCCGAAGCAUAACUAUAUACAAAGUUUCUCGCAUUGACUUUGACGGGCGAGAUGUACUUUAUUUCGCGAUCUCACACUAACCCAGCGCCGCACCGGCACCCGCUCGGUGCUGCGCUCUC
This 1160-nucleotide long non-coding RNA is filed under the name Homo sapiens (human). RNAcentral describes it as "non-protein coding lnc-IRX3-80:6". Lineage: Eukaryota; Metazoa; Chordata; Mammalia; Primates; Hominidae. The record is from RNAcentral.